GAUUCCCUGAGUAACGGCGAGCGAAAGGGGAAUAGUCCAGCGCUAAGUCUUGACGUUUAGGCGUUCAAGAGAUGCAGCGUUAAUGUGUUGGUGUAUCGUGUAUCGUCGAAUGUUUCAAGUUCCUUUGACAGGGACAUCCAGAGCGGGUGCUAGGCCCAUAGAGACAAUCGACCGAUUCAUGCAGACCAAUGCAUUCUAGAGUCAGGUUGCUUGAGAGUGCAGCUUAAAGUCGGUGGUAAACUCCAUCCAAGACUAAAUAUUACAGCGAGACCGAUAGCAAACAAGUACCGUGAGGGAAAGUUGCAAAGCACUUUGAAGAGAGAGUCAAACAGUACGUGAAACCACUGGGAGGCAAACAGAUGGAACCACGAAGUGUGCGUCUCGGUCGAUUCAAUCAACGCUGGCGGCUAACGGCACUGGAAAAGGAUCUUUUCGGAGAUUGUUCCGGCGUUUUUCAGCUGCAAGCUUUGGUGCAUUUCGUACCGAGGAUGCUAAGCCACGUUCGAUCAGAUGAUUGGGACGGCUGUAAGACGGGGUAGGAGAAAGGUGCCCGUCAAGUCUUUGAUUUGACGGCGUUAUAGUCUCURACCGGAACCGUCGCCUAAUGAACUGAUCGAUAAAAGUUCUCCUUACGGAGUAURACUACGUUUGCCURUGGYUGCUAGUCGGUGUUUCGAGGUGUUCUUUGCGUGUCUUUGGAUGCGAAAAGCCGCUUCAACAAUGCUGAUUAGUAGUSAUUUGCACAACGUGGUAGAACUGUGGCGCGAGUAGGUCGGUUUCCAUUUGACCCGUCUUGAAACACGGACCAAGGAGCCUAUCAUAUACGCAAGUCGCUCGGUCUUGUAUAGGCCAGAGAGGCACAAUGAAAGUAAAGCUACGAGGCUUCGGUCGCAGUAGCGGCUCGCCUACUUCGUUUAUUGGCGAUCAGGCGAAGCUGGAGCGUAUACGAUGGUACCCGAAAGAUGGUGAACUAUGCCUGGGCAAGACGAAGCCAGAGGAAACUCUGGUGGAGGUCUGUAGCGAUUCUGACGUGCAAAUCGAUCGUCAGACCUGGGUAUAGGGGCGAAAGACUAAUCGAACCAUCUAGUAGCUGGUUCCCUCCGAAGUUUCCCUCAGGAUAGCAGGCGCUUUAUUUGAACUCAGUCUCAUCCGGUAAAGCUAAUGAUUAGAGGUCUUGGGGUUGAAACGACCUCAACCUAUUCUCAAACUUUAAAUGGGUGAGAUGGUUGACUUUCUUGAUUGAAGCCGACCAUUUGGAUGUACGAGUGCCUAGUGGGCCAUUUUUGGUAAGCAGAACUGGCGCUGUGGGAUGAACCAAACGUCGAGAUAAGGCAUCAAAUGCAUACGCUCAUCAGACCCCAUAAAAGGUGUUGGUUGCUAUAGACAGCAGGACGGUGGCCAUGGAAGUCGGAAUCC
This 1416-nucleotide ribosomal RNA is filed under the name Sturnophagoides bakeri. Its description in RNAcentral is "eukaryotic LSU rRNA". It matches the Rfam family "Eukaryotic large subunit ribosomal RNA", at positions 73 to 1269 of the family's 3401-position model. Lineage: Eukaryota; Metazoa; Arthropoda; Arachnida; Sarcoptiformes; Pyroglyphidae. The record is from RNAcentral.